Long non-coding RNA from Rosa chinensis, 1618 nucleotides. RefSeq lists it as uncharacterized. The transcript is spliced from 4 exons. The record is from RefSeq and is a predicted model, not a curated record. Lineage: Eukaryota; Viridiplantae; Streptophyta; Magnoliopsida; Rosales; Rosaceae.
AAACUUAAAAGCUAUUAAACCUACAUACAAAGCAUAACUACAAGAAGGUUUCUGUUGUCCCUUAAAUUGCUUGGUAGUUCAUAUGCAUUAGAAGAUAAUGACACUAAAGGAUAGUAAACCAUUUCCACUUGCUGCUCUCACAAUGUUCUACUUAGUUAAAGGGCUCUGCCAAAAAAGAAAUGUGGGUCUUGAGAAGACUAGAAACAAAUGUGGAUACAUUACUCUGUUUUCCGAAGACCUAAUUGAAAUUGGUUACCAUGUCAUCUUUAUUUUACUUUUAACGAAAAGAACAUUGUUCUACUCUUCUUGUAGAAUCAAGAUUUAUAAAGAUUUCAUACUCCUACUCAAUCUUUAGAUAAUCUAUAUGGCACAUGUCUUGUCUAGCUCUCUUUACUUGUCAAGCAAAACCACCUCACUUGUCAGAGAACAUGGAGAUUACCUUCGUGGCCGAGGCCGUACAUCUCUCUCUUUCUCUCUGCAAUUUUUUUGUGGUGCAAACUUAAACCCCUAUGUGUGCAGUCAGGCCUUGGAGCAGAAGCAAGAUGUAGACGUUGAAUAAGGUGAGAACAUGUAGGAACUUCCGUACAAUCCAAGGAGUUGUCUUGUGAACCAGAAUAUGCUUGAAUAAGAGGGAUAAGUCAAGGACAGCCUCAAAGAUGCAAACUUGGCAAGGUUAUACACACGCAGGUGUGGUUUCCUUAUCAGUUUGGUUUUGUCGUGAAACAAUCUUUGAAGCCUUGCAAAGGUGGAAUGGAAGAGCUCCCUCUGAUGGCCUACUCCUGGGCUUCUGUAUUGUCUUGAUGGGCUUGGCUUGUGUCCCUAUUGUGGCUCUCCACUUCUCUCAUGUCUUGGAAGAAGAUCCAGGUUGCUAUUCAAGGGCAUCUAACUCUGUUUUUGAGCCUGUGGUAGAUGUACAAAUGAAUAUCAAGAGAAGGACCUGGUUGGACGAUUCAUGAAUGUAUUUAUGAAUGUCAAGAUAUCAAGGUAAAUUGUCUUAAAGUUUAAAAUUUUCCCCCUGAUAAACGAACAAUGAUUAACCUUUUAUGUGCACAAUAAGAUGUUGGCACUUGGUAAGUCUUGUUCUGUCAUGAACAGCAUUGUUACAUCCAACCUUCUUUAUUCUUUCUUUUCAGGUUUCCUCCUGUUUAUUGUGGAAUUCAAAUAUUUGAAUUCCACCGGAAUGUGUUUUAUUAUGUGAAGUGAAGAGAUCUGGAUCAUAACUUCUCUACAUUCUUGUAAAAUGUCAAUUAACAGUUCAUAUGCAACUAAGUAAAUAUAGUCACUUGACUCAAUUUCUCAUAACUUUGUUAUCAUGUCCAUGCCUCAUUCACCAAAAUGAUUAACUAAUCCUUUUGAUAUAAUAAACUGAUUUCAGUGGGAGAGGAGAGGCAACAACCAAUACACCCAAGCGGAUCAAGUGCGAAAUGAGUGGGGGAAGUUUGUUGUCAACACAUGUGCAUAAGCCAUGAAGUAGCGCGCUUGUUGCUGGUACAUUUUUGCUAAAGAAAGCAUCUUUUUUGUGCUUCUCUGCUGGUAGAUUGUCAUGCACCAUGUGUGGCAUGUUUUGGAACAAUAGAUAUAUAUGUAUCAACUUUUUGAUGUCCCAAGUAGAUGGGCA